This 540-nucleotide ribosomal RNA is filed under the name uncultured bacterium. RNAcentral describes it as "bacterial SSU rRNA". It matches the Rfam family "Bacterial small subunit ribosomal RNA", at positions 355 to 896 of the family's 1533-position model. The record is from RNAcentral.
UGAGGAAUAUUGCGCAAUGGCCGAAAGGCUGACGCAGCGACGCCGCGUGAGGGAUGAAGUCCGUUAGGAUGUAAACCUCUUUUGCAGGGGAUGAAUGUCCCGUUUGACGGGAUUGACAGUACCCUGCGAAUAAGGAUCGGCUAACUACGUGCCAGCAGCCGCGGUAAUACGUAGGAUCCGAGCGUUGUCCGGAAUUACUGGGUGUAAAGGGCGUGUAGGUGGGUUCCUAAGUCGAUGGUGAAAUCCUGCAGCUUAACUGCAGAACUGCCUUCGAUACUGGGGAUCUUGAGUGCGGCAGAGGGAGAUGGAAUUCAUGGUGUAGCGGUGAAAUGUGUAGAUAUCAUGAAGAACACCGGUAGCGAAGGCGGUCUCCUGGUCCGCAACUGACACUGAGGCGCGAAAGCGUGGGGAGCAAACAGGAUUAGAUACCCUGGUAGUCCACGCGGUAAACGAUGAGCACUAGACGUUGGCGGGGUUAACCCGUCGGUGUCGUAGCUAACGUGGUAAGUGCUCCGCCUGGGGAGUACGGCCGCAAGGUUG